CAGGAUUUAAUAGAUUGGGGGGGGGGAGCUUGCUCUACGGAAUUGGCUUACGGAUAAGAUUAAGGAAGCUUGAAGCCUUGGAGGCCUGAAGUCCUGACGAUAAGAAAGGGUUAAAGGCCCGCAGUCCUGCCUUGAAUUUUGAGGCCAGUAGUCCUGCUUAAAGGUAAUCCAGCGGCGACUGGUGGAGGUUAUAGUAAAGGAGAAAUCCAGCGGCGACUGGUGACGAACGCAGAGACAGCCGCCAGCCAAGGGAAGCAGGUUCCAGUCAUACCGCCAGGAAGCUGGGUGUGGAUUAAGGCCCAUAAACGCAAGUGGAGCGAUCCAAGGUGGACCGGUCCUUGGGAGGUAGUAUUGGCAACAUCACACUCGGUAAAGGUGAAAGGUAAAGCGGGAGCCACUUGGCAUCAUCUCACACAUUGUGCACCUGCUAAGGCACCAAGCCAGACCCUUGCGGAGACCCGAUUAAAUACCAGGCAAGUUAAUUCAGAGCCAAAAGACACAGGAGGGGACAAAGCAGCAGAAAAUGUCUCGCCCACAGCGUAAGUAUCAGUUGGUAGUAGGGAGUUCAAGUUCAGCUCGGGGAGGUGCAGCUGUUCACACAGGUGACGAUGACAUGACGUCUGUAAGUGAUCUAUCCCAUCCCAGUCGACAAGAUGUUUCCUUACCACCUAACAUCCAAGCAGCAAUUGCUCUCACGUAGACAUUCAAGGAAAAUAUAACUGCAUCUGUUCAAUUUGAUUAUUGUGAUAUUGCAGCCUGCGGAGUCCAAGACCUCAGGUUUUGGAGGUCGGACCAAUACUUGUGUUCCACCACCAACCAAGGUGGACCAGGAGUCAGGUUUGGUAAGCCAGUGGAGCAGUACGGCUGUGACUGCGAGGAGGCAGAAUGGAAGUUCGCACACACUGGUAGAUGGAAGUCAUCUAAAACUGGUCCUAAACCUGGGCUGCAAACCCGUUUAACAAUGCGGAAAAACCGAUAUCCAGAUUUGGCUAAAUGUGGGGGAGGGUUGUGCAAUCCACUAAUAAUCACAUUGAAAAAUCCAGGAUUGGGGGACAGUGGACUAUACGUGUUGAAAGGAGGGACAUACGAUAUUGAAAGCCCACAAGGGUUGUUUAAGAUUGUUGUUAAACCCUCUGCUAACAAACAGGGAUCCACUGCUGAUCAGGUUGGAGCUGAAGCUGACACUUCUUGGGAGGGUGUGGUAAGACGGGAAACUGGAUUCUCGGAGUCUAAUCUAUGGCUCCAAUGGGUACAGUAUACUGCCACAAACAUGCACAGUACAGAUUGUAUAGUGUGUUCUCAACCUAGGCCUAUGCCCACUCCUGUACGUUCCAGAUUCAGACCAAUAAGUCCUAUAUUCAAAUGUAUACUGGAGCUCUUUGUCCUGCAGACUCAGCCUGUCCACCAUACUUGUCUAGAGUUCCAAUGGGAUUAUCCGCCAGCUACUUUGAGCACGCCACCUCAAUUUAUGGUUCCAGAUGGUACAUUUGAUUGCAUAGUAUCAGAGAUAACGGGAGGGAUAAAAGUAGGUGACAUUGCAGGAGUAAACUGUACCACAGUUCAGUUUGCUAAUGUCACUCGAUAUUCAAGUGUGUUGAAUCAGACGAUUUCCAGAGCCGACCUCUGGUGAUGGUGUGGAACUAAGGUUAUUUAUCCAACGCUGCCAGCUAAUUGGACGGGUACUUGUGCAUUAGUGCAGCUUAUCAUGCCAUUCUAUGUCUUUCCAGUGAAGGAGACCACAUUUCAAGACUUGAUUUUACCACAUCCUCACGUCGCCAGGAGAGCGAAGAGAUCCACUAGUCCUGCGGGCUCAUUUGAUAGUCAUGUGUACUUAGAUGCCAUUAGGGUGCCCAGAGGGGUGCCUGAUGAGUUUAAAGCCAGGAAUCAAAUUACGAGCGGCAUAGAAUCCUUUUUCUUCUGGUGGGUGACAAUCAAUAAAAAUGUAGACUGGAUUAAUUACAUAUACUACAACCAGCAGCGAUUCAUAAAUUUCACCCGGGAUGCCACAACAGGGCUCCACGAGCAGUUGGAUAAGACUAGUUUGAUGGCAUG
Molecule: long non-coding RNA, 2052 nt
Organism: Gasterosteus aculeatus aculeatus (three-spined stickleback)
Lineage: Eukaryota; Metazoa; Chordata; Actinopteri; Perciformes; Gasterosteidae
Source: RefSeq, a predicted model, not a curated record